GACGAACGCUGGCGGCGUGCCUAAUACAUGCAAGUCGAGCGAUGAAGGAGAUACUUGUAUCUUUUGAAGAGCGGCGAACGGGUGAGUAACGCGUGGGGAAUCUGCCAAUGAGUGGGGGACAACAUUUGGAAACGAAUGCUAAUACCGCAUAAAAUCUAUUGAGACAUCUCAAGAGAUUGAAAGGAACAAUUAUUUCGCUCGUUGAUGAUCCCGCGUUGUAUUAGCUAGUUGGUGAGGUAAGGGCUCACCAAGGCGAUGAUACAUAGCCGACCUGAGAGGGUGAUCGGCCACAUUGGGACUGAGACACGGCCCAAACUCCUACGGGAGGCAGCAGUAGGGAAUCUUCGGCAAUGGACGGAAGUCUGACCGAGCAACGCCGCGUGAGUGAAGAAGGUUUUCGGAUCGUAAAGCUCUGUUGUUGUUAAAGAACGUUGAUGAGAGUGGAAAGUUCAUCAAGUGACGGUAAACAACCAGAAAGGGACGGCUAACUACGUGCCAGCCGCCGCCGUAA
Molecule: ribosomal RNA, 511 nt
Filed under: uncultured bacterium
Lineage: Bacteria
Description: partial 16S ribosomal RNA
Rfam family: Bacterial small subunit ribosomal RNA
Source: RNAcentral